AGAAUCACCUGGCGGUCUUGAUGAAACACAAGCUGCUGAGCUUUACUCCAGAAUUUCUGGUUCAGUAGGUCUGCAGUAGGACCUGAAAUUUUAUAUUUCUAACAAGUUUUCAGGAGCUGCUGAUGCCGCUAGUACAGGGCUCACAUUUUGAGAACCUCUGGUCUAGCAAGUUGCCACCAAGAAUGAAGAUUGGGCCAGAGAACAGGAGGAAAUUUGUUUUGCAACAGAAAACAUAAGAAAUUUUCCCUGCUUGGAAGAUACUCAUACAUACCAGAAACAAGUCAACAUUUUGAUUUCAAACAUCAAAAAAGGUGUCCAGAAAUCUCAAGAAUUUGAGACAUCCUAAGGAACUUUAAGUGCUGUGAGCCACAAGUAACAUCAAGAAAAGACAGGGAUGAAGAACCGCACUUACAAGCUAAGUAAGAUUAAACCCAGCAUGGAGAUAUAUGAAUUAAUAUGAACUCUGAGAAAGAAAUUGGUCAGCUAAAAAAUAUAUGGCUUUCCUGAAUAGACAAAAGAACAAAGAUUUUCCCUUUGGUGUAAGCUCAUCCUACACAUGUCAUUUGGACCAGACCAAGGCUGCUGUCAUGGAGGACCCACACCACAGCUUGGGAACCAUUCAUCUACCAGAGGGUCACAUGACUUCAAAUGACUCUUCUAGGGGCCACCUGCCAUGAUAGGGUACCAGCUCUUCCUCUGAAUUCCCAAUCCAUUUCUUGAGAACUACUGUUUCUAAUAAGAGGGGAAGAAGGUCAUGUGGGAAUCAGUUAAAUCACGUGUGGAUAGAAGACAAGUUCCAGCUUUGUGGGAAAUCCUGUAGCCUUCGCCAGGUACACCCUGACAAUCUCAGAACUGAUCAGGUAAAGCCAGCUCUGAGUUAGACCCUUCUGUGGCCUGUCAGGGAGAGCAGAGAGGGAUAUGCAGAAUCCAGGCAAACCUGUUGUCUGGACUGGCAGAAAUGGGAAGAAGCAUUUCCAGAACACAGCUGAACAACCAAACCAUCAUCUAUGUUCAAAGGGCUUCUUCUUAAAUGCAUUUCAAAUCGAUUUGCAAAUUUUAAACAAUGUGUCUUUAGUUUAAAAGCUCUAAAUAUUAAAAAAUCAGUAAAUUCUCCUUUAGCACUGCCCCACCCUCUGCCAUUCUUCUCUUUCUCAGCACAAUGGCAUUACUGUUCUAACCACUCAAUAUUCAAUAUCUUAUGUACUUUUAAGGAAAUCUUAGGCACAAGAAAAAAGUUUAUUUGUGAGGUGAGUUAACUCUUGUUUAAAAAAAAAAUGGGUUGGCUCAUAUAUAAACCUUACAAAAGGUUAAUGCAUAAAACACAAAUAUAGUUCAAUUUCCUUUUUAUGUGAUUAGAGAAACUUACCUACAGAGUUGCCUAUGACACCUACAAAAGAGGUGAUGAUAAGAAUGAUGCAGUUCACACUGUUCAAUGGUUCCUUAAAUUAAUGAACACCAGAUAUGUUAGUGUGAUUUCUUCUUCCUCUUUCAAGUUCUUUAUUUACCACUCCAUGCCCUCCAGGUUAGCUGAGUUUAGUGCUCUGGGAUAAUGACUAGUUGAAUUCGCUGCAAUUUUUUAAAUAUGCCUAGCAUAGGGGCCAAAGGAAAACUUCUCUUCCACUCUCUGAAGGUUCACUGAAAAUCAACUGGCAAAAGGCAGAUCAGUAGGAGAAAUGGCAUACAAAUUACUAGCAUCCACGAGGGAGAAUCACAGAGUGAUUGCCUCAUACCCCGUGGGGUAGAGGUGUUUAUAUACCCUACAUCUUAGGGGAAAAGGAAAUGGAGAUGUAUAGGUGACUUUAUAGGGACAGAAAACAAUUUUUAGGGGAAUUCACUGGGCUUGAAGAACAUACAAUGGCCAGAGACAAAGUCUGUUGGGCCUGCAGAGUGGACAAUGGUUUGUGACAAAAGUCUGUCCAGGUGUGUUGACAGAUUUCAGUCUUCCUUCCUGCGAUAGGAGAUGAGUUAAUGGAAACUCAGGGAAAACUUAGGGUAAUUGUCUUCUUCUUUGAUGGGUCCAGACUUUUCGGCAGAUAAGGAAACAUCAGAGAACAAAUUUAUCCUGUGCUUUGGGAGAUAGGAAGGGGAGAAGGUCAGGGAGACCUUGAGGCUCCUUCAGUUCAGCAUGUCAAAGUGCCAUAUCUUAGAGUAUCAGUUUCUGAGCCCCAACACUAGAAACAUGAACAAGUUAACAAUUCAGUUAAAAGGGAGAGAGAGAUGAACUGAGUGAAGUGCAUUGUAAUCCUUCCUGAGGUUAAGCUAGUGAUAGUCGGCCUCUCAGGCGAUUAUGUUCACCCUCCUAGUGUCAGGGAGACAUCUUUACUGCUUUUCCUAAGAGAACUUAAGAGAUACUGGGGCAGGGCAGGGAAUUGGAAGCAGAUAGCAAUGUGGACAAUCUGACUUUGUUGGCAAAUGACUAACCUGAAUACAAUGAAGUUAAACAUCUGCAGAUAGUUUCUGGUUGUUGGCUUUUAUCAGUUUUUAUAUCCAUGUGGAGUGGUGGGGCUGUGAUUAAGAAAGCUGGUGGACUGUGAAUUACAUUUUUCACCUUUUAGUUUAAGGAUUGAAUAUGACACAUUUGGGUGGAAGAGCACACCAGUUGGAUUUUACUUUUUUUUUUAAUGUGACUGAGAGAAAGUGAAUCAGCUGUAUUUUGUAUUUAUUCAGGUUUCAUAGUGCUGAUUCAGGGACAAGUGUCUUUGUUUUAUAUCAAAUUCUGGGUCUUUUUCAGCAGAAAUGAAUCAAAGAGAAUCAGAGAAAUGUGAGUUGACUUUUUUAAAGGAAACAGGAGGAUCUGGUGUCAGAGCUUUUAGUCCAGAGUUUCACAUUGAUGAUAGCUGUAGCUGCUUUCUAGAAUUCUCAGGAAUUAAUUACAACCAGAUUUGUUUUUGUGGCAUUCACAUCCCAUCUAUUUGUCAAUUGCUCAUCCACUCAUCCAACUUCUCCAUCUCCAUGGAAAUCAUUUCUUUUUUCCAAGGAAAAUCACACAGGAAAACAAUAGACUCAACUUGGAAACAUCAAAACAGUCAAAGCAGUCUUUCUGAGAACAAGGCCUAUAUCCCUCAGCUUGAUCUGUUUCCCUGAAAACACCCUGAAUGAUGUUUUUCUUAUGUUGAGCUCUUCAAGAUCCAUAUUCUUAGACACUGGGCCAAAAAUAAUGGGCUUGCCUUUCCCUGUGAGGGACCUUGCCCUAUGACCUAAGCUGCCCACACAACCACUGAGCAAUAAUCCUGUUGGCCUCUUAGAGGGAAAUGAUGAAAACAAGAAAUUGUCCCUCCAACUUGAGGGUUUUUUUCUCCAUAAGUCUUAAAAUUAAUGAGAGCAGUAAGAAAGCAUCGUGGCUUCAGUAUAAAUAUAAAAACUAUUAAUUGUAACAAUAGAGAAGAAGUCAUAAUUCAUAAUCAUUUCCAUCUUUCAUGUUGAAUAUUUCAGGGUUUGGAAAAAAAUAUUUGCAUUGAUUUUUUUCCCCGAAGCCUAAAUUAUUCACAAGUAUUAUGUAUCACUGAAUUAACAGUAGUCAGAAUUGUGUGUUCAACAUAAAUACCGAAGUAUAUAACUUUGAAUAUUUCCACAAAUACAAUGGAUAAAAAGGUAAUUUUGUUCACAUGAGUCAAUGAAUUUCGGAAGUAGAGGUGGCAACUCAAACAAACUCUACGCUCCAAACCCACCCCUUUGUGCUUCUUCAAGAAUCAAGAAUUAAGGCUACAAUUCUUAAUACCUACAUGUUGUUUGGCCAGUUACUUAACUUUUGUUUCUUAGUUUUCUCAUCUGUAAAAUGGAGCUACUUGUUUCUACUGCAUGGAAAUAUUAUGAGAACUACAAGUAUUAGAACAAUGCCUGCAGUAUAGCAAGAACUCAACGUUAGCUAUCAUGUUUAUUUAAACUUCCUAAUUCACUUUGUAACUUCUGUGCCUAAGGUGAAGAUCCAGGAAUACUUAAAGAAAUCUCUGAAACAGUUUCUUCUUCGUUUUUUUUUUUUUUUUUGAGAUGGAGUUUCACUCUUGUUGCAGUGGCACCAUCUCAGCU
This 4026-nucleotide long non-coding RNA is filed under the name Homo sapiens (human). RNAcentral describes it as "uncharacterized LOC102724861, transcript variant 1 (LOC102724861)". The record is from RNAcentral. Lineage: Eukaryota; Metazoa; Chordata; Mammalia; Primates; Hominidae.